Molecule: ribosomal RNA, 389 nt
Filed under: uncultured bacterium
Lineage: Bacteria
Description: partial 16S ribosomal RNA
Rfam family: Bacterial small subunit ribosomal RNA
Source: RNAcentral
CCUACGGGUGGCAGCAGUGAGGAAUAUUGGUCAAUGGGCGAAAUCCUGAACCAGCCAUGCCGCGUGCAGGAAGACGGCUCUACGAGUUGUAAACUGCUUUUGUAGGGGAGUAAAAUGCCUUACGUGUAGGGUAUUGAUAGUACCCUAAGAAUAAGGAUCGGCUAACUCCGUGCCAGCAGCCGCGGUAAUACGGAGGAUCCGAGCGUUAUCCGGAUUUAUUGGGUUUAAAGGGUGCGGAGGGUGGAUGAGAAGGUAGCGGGGAAAUAGCGAGGCUCAACCCCGGGAUUGCCGUUGAUACUGUAGGCCUAGAGUGCGCGAGCAGCAUGCGGAAUGCGUGGUGUAGCGGUGAAAUGCAUAGAUAUUACGCAGAACACCGAUUGCGAAGGCAG